GUUCCCGUAGCUUACACCUCCAAAGCAUGGCACUGAAGAUGCCAAGACGGUCACCACAUAUACCCGGGGACA
This 72-nucleotide transfer RNA is filed under the name Phoenicopterus ruber (American flamingo). RNAcentral's name for it is "tRNA-Phe". RNAcentral also lists the same sequence under 1 other name. Lineage: Eukaryota; Metazoa; Chordata; Aves; Phoenicopteriformes; Phoenicopteridae. The record is from RNAcentral.